AUACAUGUAUCAACUUUCCUUUAUUGAUUUAGAGUUGUAUAGUUGUAAGCAAUUAUGUAUUUUUGGUGGAUGGCUAAAAUGUAAAGAAUUAUGAAUGUAAGUUAAAAUGAAUGUAAUAGUUGUAGUUUAUUUGUAUUUGGUUAAAAUAUAAUCAAAUAUCAUGUAUGGUUGUAUGCUUUAGCUUAGAACUUUCGCUUUCGUUGUUGCUUGCCCUCGUGCAAGCCUUGUAUAAUUGCUUAUUUCUUUGUUUGAUUGCUUAAUUAUACUUGUUGUUAGAGCCGUGGGCGGACAGGGGAGAUGCUGUCCGUUCGGCGUCUGUUGACGUGACCCGAACCCGACCAAAUUGGCAGGGAUUUGGACGUGACAACUUCCCUUAUAGUGUCAAGAGGAAGAUGGAGCAGAACUUGCG
This 409-nucleotide long non-coding RNA is filed under the name Ananas comosus (pineapple). Its description in RNAcentral is "long non-coding RNA (ACOM_LNC040400)". Lineage: Eukaryota; Viridiplantae; Streptophyta; Magnoliopsida; Poales; Bromeliaceae. The record is from RNAcentral.